RNAcentral lists this transfer RNA (72 nucleotides) under Camelus bactrianus (Bactrian camel). It matches the Rfam family "tRNA". From Rfam's summary of the family: Transfer RNA (tRNA) molecules are approximately 80 nucleotides in length. Their secondary structure includes four short double-helical elements and three loops (D, anti-codon, and T loops). Further hydrogen bonds mediate the characteristic L-shaped molecular structure. tRNAs have two regions of fundamental functional importance: the anti-codon, which is responsible for specific mRNA codon recognition, and the 3' end, to which the tRNAs corresponding amino acid is attached (by aminoacyl-tRNA synthetases). tRNAs cope with the degeneracy of the genetic code in two manners: having more than one tRNA (with a specific anti-codon) for a particular amino acid; and 'wobble' base-pairing, i.e. permitting non-standard base-pairing at the 3rd anti-codon position. The record is from Rfam by way of RNAcentral. RNAcentral also lists the same sequence under 1 other name. Lineage: Eukaryota; Metazoa; Chordata; Mammalia; Artiodactyla; Camelidae.
GAGAGUAUAGCACGGUGGUAGAGCACGUGUUUGGCAUGCACGAGGUCCCAGGUUCAAUCCCCAGUACCUCCA